Molecule: long non-coding RNA, 5056 nt
Organism: Rattus norvegicus (Norway rat)
Lineage: Eukaryota; Metazoa; Chordata; Mammalia; Rodentia; Muridae
Source: RefSeq, a predicted model, not a curated record
UGGCACGCCAUCACCCUGUGUUCUUCAAAUGGGGGACAUUCAAGCGGAGUGCUUACGAAGCAGUUGGAGUUUGGUGAACCCGAUGAAUCAAAUGGCAGGACGUCCGUCAUUUUUCUUAAGGAACUAAAGAGGCUACCGGAGGACUCUCACUAGCCUAGCAAUGACUUUUACCUGUAACCUUCUCUGACUGCCUGUACCUUACUUGUAUGGAGUUUCAUGGAGGGACACAGUGCCCCACCCAAUGACCAAUAAAGUACACAGAGAGACUUUUCCCCUUGUAGCAUUCCUGCAAGCAAGCACGAGACCGAUGCCUUACUAAGACAUGCUGAAGUCUAGCCUCUGGAUGGAGACCCAGGGUCCAGGUGAGACUUGGUAUUGCCUGAGAAAUGGGAUACAAUGUGACACACAAAUGCCUCGUCUAUUCCACAAGGACAAUGUGGAAUGACAGGGACCACAGGACAGAAGCUAAGCAGCAAGCCCUGGCUGGAACUAGUUGGCAACCUUUCUGGGAGCACCACUCCCUUCUCUGGAACUCGCUCACUGUAAGGAGGGCUGUGCUGGUCUAUGUUAAGUUCCCUUCCAUUUACACGUUCAUAAUCUGUGGCCCGCUCAAUUGAUUUUCCUAAGCUGCUGUUCCUCUUCAUAUAAAUAGCACGUCCAUAAGGGAUCAGUUUUGUUUUGUCUGUUUCUAAGCAAUUAUCUUAAUUCUACAUGUGUGUGUGCAUGCUAGGAGCCCAAAGGAAGACCGAGGAGGGCAUGAGAUCCCCAGUACUGAUAGUUGUGAGCCACUGUGUAAGUGUGUGCUACAUACUGAACCCGGGUCCUCUGCCAGAGCAGCCAGUGCCCUUAACCACUGAGCUGCCUCUCUAGCACCAGUAAUUAAUUUCUCCGACACACUUUUCUAUGGACUCCACUGUCAGCCUCUGUCCUUUCUUCCUAAAAGGCUCCCCCCCCCAUCCUUUUCUCCUAACACACUUUCACUUUCGAGCGGAAACAGUGUCCCACCUUAAACGGCUCAAUGUAAGCAUCUAUUCCGUGAGUUCGCUUUGAGCCCUGAUGACCACACGACGGUUAUGUUAGCUGGCACUCCCAUGUUGGCCUUUAAAUGGGUUGGUGUCCUGACAUUUAUUUUAUUUUACUUUUUUUAACUUACACUUAAAUUAUGUCAUGUCUUCUGUUCAAAUACCGAGGUACGCUAAGGCGAAGGUAAAUGACAGCACUAACCGUCUUCCGGUUUGACUUGCAGUCUCUUCUAACUUCUGCAGCUCCGCCGUGUACACCUGCAUCCGAGCAUUGCAGACCAUGAGGUUCUUAACUGCGUGCAAAACCUGGUCUUUUUUUUUACUCAGGGAGAGCAGUUUCCAUAUUCCUUCUCGCAUUCGGAUCUCUAAGUCUAUUUUCUCUUGGAUGCUGCAGUCCUAAAAUAGAGAAUCACUCGUAAGAGGUGGCAAGAAUCUAGAACUACAUUUAAGACAGGCGACAGGAAGUGGGGUAGACAUCGUCUUGUUUUUACACCAUUCUGAAAUGAGACCAAGUUUCCCAGAAUGAAACAAACGCAACCAUUUUAAAAAGCUAUUUGCCAAAGCUCUUAAGUGUCUUGCAUUGGAGAAAAAAGAAAGAUGAGAAAAAAUAUGUUGCUACCAUAACCUCUUGCUAGCUUAACAGAGCUCUCAAAAUCCUUGUCUCACCAGAACCCUCGAAUGGGCCCUUAUUUGGAUACAGAACUUUGCAUGUGUUAUUAAUUAUAACAGGGUCACAUUGGAGUAGAAUGGGUCUCAAAUCUUAAUAAGGCCAUGAAAAGACACAGACACACAGAGAAAAGGCCACAGGAAGAUACACAAAGACACUUGGAGAGAAGACCACGAAAAGACAAGGCACACAGAGGCCACAUAAAGAUAACAGACAUGGGGUUGGGGAUUUAGCUCAGUGGUAGAGUGCUUGCUUAGCAAGCGCAAGGCCCUGGGUUCGGUCCCCAGUUCCGAAAAAAAGAAGGAAAAAAAAAAGAUAACAGACAUACAGAGAGGCCACACAUGGACGCAGACACAAAGGGGAUAUAAGAAGAAACACACACACAGGACUGGUCAUAUGAAGACACACACACACAGAGGGCCCUAUGACAACAGAUACACGGGGCAGCCAUGUGAAGACAGAGGUGGAACCCAGCAAGUUGGUCCCAAUAGCCAGAACCUGGAAGAGGUAAGAAGGGAGAAGAAGAUGCAAAGUCCUCACUCAGUUCAUUCCCAGUAACUUUGUAAGUAUUAGAAGCCGCAGAGGCCCUCUUUAUAAACAAGCACGGAACCCACGAGUGUCUACUUCUAAGUGAACCUAACUUUAGCAGUAAACAAACAAACAAACAAACAAACAAGUAUUACUUUCUCAUUGUGCCGAAAUUUUAAAAUAUGGAUAGGAUCUAAUAAGUGUCAAGGAUUAAGAGAACAAUCAUUUCAAAAGAAAGAGAAGAAGUCGGUUAGGAGAGUUGAUAGUCUUAUAAUGGCUACCUCCAAAAAGCAAGCUGUGAAAUGGUUUGACUUGACUCUCCAAACCUAAUCGGCUGAGCUAUUCACACAAGAGAAGCGAUCUGUUUAAUGACCUUCUGGUACCACAUUGUGGAGUCAUCACAUGAGAACCUUGCCAUGUAAUAUGUACGGAUUCAAGCUGGGGCACCCUAUCAACGCUGUCCCUUGCUGGACCCCUUCUUUGAUCAUGACUGCCUUCCACCGACUCUUAGUUCAUCCAUGGAUGACUUGUAAGCCCCAAAGUCGUUUCUCCUCUCAUGCCAUCAGCAAUUAAUGAUAAGAACCAUCUACAUGACCCGGAUGUCUACAGUAAUAGGCGCUGACAGGCUGGUUAGCGCUGCCCCGGCCCACAGAGCACAUAAGAAAAGCUGCCCCAUCUGCAUCCUGCUGCAGUGUUGGAAAACAAGUCCUCAGAGCGAGCAGGUUAGCAAUCAAUCUCCUUUCUCGGGGUUCCAUCAGGUCAAGCAGGAACCUACAUCACUGUCCUGGUAUGGUAAGUAGUUAAAGGUAAGAGCUAAGACGGAAUGGACAGAACGAAGCUAAAAACAGAAUAGCGGAACCCUUUAAAAGUAGAGGAUAGAGGCUCAAGCCGGGUACUUGUUCUUCCAGAGGACAUGAGUUCGAUUCCCAGAACCCACAGCAUGCAGCUUAGCAACAACUAUGACUCCAGCUCGAGGGGACCCAACCCCUUCUCCUGGCCUUCCAGGUACCCCACACUCAUGGAUACACACCCAUAUAAACACAUAGAUAAAAGUAAAGAUUUAAGAUAAGUAAGAGUGGGGCUGGAGAGAUGGCUCAGUGGUUAAGAGCACUGACUGCUCUUCCAGAGGUCCUGAGUUCAAAUCCCAGCAACCACAUGGUGGCUCACAACCAUCUGCAAUGGGGUCUGAUGCCCUCUUCUGGUGUGUCUGAAGACAGCGACAGUGUACUCGCAUACAUGAAAUAAAUAAAUAUUUAAAAAAAAAAGAUAAAUAAGAGUGGAAAUGGGGAGUUAGGGAGAUGGUCCAGCAGACAAAGUGGUCACCGUGCAAGCGUGGGGACCUGAGUUCAUCCACAGAAAAGCCAGGCACCAUGGUAUACCCCUGUAAUCUCAGAGCUGGGGAGGUGAAGGCAGGUAGAUCCUGGGGCUUACUGGCAGUCAGCCAGGCCAAAAUGAAAAGCUGUAGGUUCAAUAAGAACUAUAGUUUCUCUCUCUCUCUCUCUCUCUCUCUCUCUCUCUCUCUCUCUCUCUCACACACACACACACACACACACACACACACACACUCACACGAACGCACAUACAUGCGCGUACACACACAUCCAGGCACAGUGCCACACACACCUUUAAUCUUAGCACAGAGGUGGCAGAGGCAGGCAGAUCUCUGUGACUCCUUGUCAGCCUACUGUAGUCACUGAGUUCCAAGCCAGCCAGGGUCUACAUGGUAAGACCUUGUCUCCAAAAAAAAAAGAAAAAAAAAAGUGGGAAACAAUAAGGGAAUACUGUGAAGCUGACCUCUGACUUCCACACUCACAUGUACAGACAAGGGUAACUCUGCAGAAGUGCGCAUUCACACACAGAAGAGACAUUAGAGCCGGGUACAGCUCAUUAGGGCAAUGCCUCCCUAAAGGGUGUGGGGUCCUGAAUUGGAUCUUUAAUGCCACCAGAAAGAGAGAACUUUCAAAGCUGGCCAUCUGGGUUAUGGAAGAGAGACAUCUGGACAGUUUUAAGAGCUAGAACAGCACAAAGGCAGAGAGUGGGCCCUACUGUCAACCCUGAGAAGUGACUUUUAAAGUUGAAAGCAGGGACGGGAGCUUGGUAAAAGGAGACAGAAACCAUGCGUAAGUAAUUCUGACCAAACCGACUACUCACCUAACAACUAUACUUAGGACAUGUUGGUAAAGAGAGCCGAGGGUAGGUGAAGAAAAUGGAAAGUUGUUUAUAUGCAGUAUGUUUGCUUCUAAAAUAUUUAUUAUUAUUAUCAUGUGUGUGUAUGUGUAAGAUGUGUACACACAAGUACAGGAUGUGUGCUGUGUGUAUGUGUAAGAUUUGUGCAUACAAAUACAGGAUGUGUGUAUGUGUGUGUGUGUAAGAUGUGUGCACACAUAAGUACAGGAUGUGUGUGUAUGUGUAAGGUGUGUGCACACAAGUACAGGAUGUGUGUAUGUGUGUGUAAGGUGUAUGUGUAAGGGGUGUGUGUAAGACAGGUGUGUGUGUGUGUGUGUGUGUGUGUGUGUAAGACACAGGCACAUAGAUACUUACCAUUUCGUAGUACUUAUGUGAUGGUCAGAUAGCAACUUUGGGGAGCGUUCUCUCUCUCUAGCUCAGGUCCGCAAGACCAAGCUCAGGUCACCACCCUGUACGGCAAGCAUGUUUACCUCAGCAGUCCUAAUCUCUGACUCUUAAACAAAAUUCUACGUACCGAAGAACUGUUGAACUGUUUAUGUACAGGAAAAAAAAUUAACACUAACCAUGGUAGGGAACUGUGGAGAAAUGGGAUUCGUGUUCUGGGAACACUUUAUAAGGACGAACUGUUUCUACUCAAACUACAUUUCCGCUU